This 253-nucleotide ribosomal RNA is filed under the name uncultured bacterium. RNAcentral describes it as "partial 16S ribosomal RNA". It matches the Rfam family "Bacterial small subunit ribosomal RNA", at positions 524 to 776 of the family's 1533-position model. The record is from RNAcentral.
UACGAAGGGGGCUAGCGUUGCUCGGAAUCGCUGGGCGUAAAGCGCACGUAGGCGGACUCUUAAGUCGGUGGUGAAAUCCUGGAGCUCAACUCCAGAACUGCCUUCGAUACUGGGAGUCUCGAGUCCGAGAGAGGUGAGUGGAACUGCGAGUGUAGAGGUGAAAUUCGUAGAUAUUCGCAAGAACACCAGUGGCGAAGGCGGCUCACUGGCUCGGUACUGACGCUGAGGUGCGAAAGCGUGGGGAGCAAACAGG